UACGGAGGAUCCAAGCGUUAUCCGGAAUCAUUGGGUUUAAAGGGUCCGUAGGCGGUCUUAUAAGUCAGUGGUGAAAUCUCCCCGCUCAACGGGGAAACGGCCAUUGAUACUGUAAGACUUGAAUUAUUAGGAAGUAACUAGAAUAUGUAGUGUAGCGGUGAGAUGCUUAGGGAUUACAUGGAAUACCAAUUGCGAAGGCAGGUUACUACUAAUGGAUUGACGCUGAUGGACGAAAGCGUGGGUAGCGAACAGG
RNAcentral lists this ribosomal RNA (253 nucleotides) under uncultured bacterium. Its description in RNAcentral is "partial 16S ribosomal RNA". It matches the Rfam family "Bacterial small subunit ribosomal RNA", at positions 524 to 776 of the family's 1533-position model. The record is from RNAcentral.